Molecule: ribosomal RNA, 253 nt
Filed under: uncultured bacterium
Lineage: Bacteria
Description: partial 16S ribosomal RNA
Rfam family: Bacterial small subunit ribosomal RNA
Source: RNAcentral
UACAGAGGGGGCAAGCGUUGUCCGGAAUUACUGGGCGUAAAGCGCACGUAGGCGGAUACUUAAGUCAGGGGUGAAAUCCCGGGGCUCAACCCCGGAACUGCCUUUGAUACUGGGUAUCUCGAGUCCGGAAGAGGUGAGUGGAAUUCCGAGUGUAGAGGUGAAAUUCGUAGAUAUUCGGAGGAACACCAGUGGCGAAGGCGGCUCACUGGUCCGGUACUGACGCUGAGGUGCGAAAGCGUGGGGAGCAAACAGG